Molecule: ribosomal RNA, 253 nt
Filed under: uncultured Eubacteriales bacterium
Lineage: Bacteria; Bacillati; Bacillota; Clostridia; Eubacteriales
Description: uncultured Clostridiales bacterium partial 16S ribosomal RNA
Rfam family: Bacterial small subunit ribosomal RNA
Source: RNAcentral
UACGUAUGGUGCAAGCGUUAUCCGGAUUUACUGGGUGUAAAGGGAGCGCAGGCGGCGCGUUAAGCCUGGUGUGAAAGCCCGCGGCUUAACCGCGGAACUGCUUUGGAAACUUUUUUGCUGGAGUACCGGAGAGGUAAGCGGAAUUCCUGGUGUAGCGGUGAAAUGCGUAGAUAUCAGGAGGAACACCGGCGGCGAAGGCGGCCUGCUGGACCGCGACUGACGUUGAGGCUCGAAAGCGUGGGGAGCGAACAGG